GGGUCUCUGGUCCGCAGUAUUUAAAAUUAUGAGUUUGAUGGUCCCUGAGGUCCAAAAGGUGGCGACCCCUGAUUUAAUAGAUGUUUAACCCAAA
Molecule: non-coding RNA, 94 nt
Organism: Pseudonaja textilis
Lineage: Eukaryota; Metazoa; Chordata; Lepidosauria; Squamata; Elapidae
Source: RefSeq, a predicted model, not a curated record